Long non-coding RNA from Cicer arietinum (chickpea), 915 nucleotides. RefSeq lists it as uncharacterized. The record is from RefSeq and is a predicted model, not a curated record. Lineage: Eukaryota; Viridiplantae; Streptophyta; Magnoliopsida; Fabales; Fabaceae.
CACCGCAUUCAGAUCCGUAGGACAACCCGUGCUUUUACACUUUCCAGAGUUACUUAACGGAAUCACAUCCAUCGGGACGUUAUAACCGUCAACUAAGCUUACAUCAUAAAAGUCUUGAUUGUUGAAACUGUUUAUUGAGAACUCCGCUAGCGUCACAGGCGGCGAUCCACUACGGCCGCCGCAUGCUAUUUUUCCGGAUCCACAGUCGCCUGUGACGCAGGAGAAGUUUCCGGAGGCGGAAUCCGUCGUACAGAGAGUCCGGCCCCAGAAACGGCCGUUCCAAUUAGCCGGUGCUGUGACGGUGGAAUUCUCACCGGAUUGUAAAACGAAACCGGUGGUUGCAAGUGGUGCGCUUCCACUGGUGUUAUAUGAAGCUGGCCAUACUGUGUAGUUGCAUUGGUUAACUAUAGUGAACUUUGCUGAAAUUACAACUGCAAAAACAGAAAGUGAUAGAUGAAGUGUGAAGAAGAACAAAAAUGAAGUUGGCUCAACCAUAUGGAAGUUAAAAUUGAAACGAAGAAGAAAACGGAGGAGUCAGAAAAAAUAGCUCAACCAUAUCCAAGUUUUUUGUUCUUAUGCUUCUAUGGUCUGGAAGAGUACCUGUUUGGGAAGGGACUGAAAUCAAUUUACGCGUUUGAUUUAUGACUUUUCCACGUAAUUGCUCGUGUUGACCAAUUGGUCGUAACAAGGAUUAUCAUGACUUGAAGUGUCUAACUUGAAGAAUUUGGUUCCUCUCAACUAAGCGCCGAAUAAAGUGAGUAAAAUAUACAUAUUAUAUUUAAUGUUAGCUAUUCAUCUAUUAUUUAAUUGUUUAUAUUUUAGAUGAGUUUGAUUCUAACUUUAAUCGAUUCAUUUGACUAUUACUUGUGCUUAUUGUUGCACAAACUCCACUGAUAACGUACCAUUUUUGUUUUA